Molecule: transfer RNA, 70 nt
Organism: Camelus ferus (Wild Bactrian camel)
Lineage: Eukaryota; Metazoa; Chordata; Mammalia; Artiodactyla; Camelidae
Rfam family: tRNA
About the family: Transfer RNA (tRNA) molecules are approximately 80 nucleotides in length.
Source: Rfam
GAAGGUAUAGCUCAGUGGUAGAGUGUGCUUAGCACACACGAGGUCCUGGGUUCAAUCCCCACUACCUCCA